AGCAGAGCACUGGGUGAGGUCGAGUGACAGGUCGAGUAACAGACAUAAAGUAUAACAGGGAUACUCGACUGCACAGUUUGUUGCCAGACCUGGGGGUCGAGUGAUGUGAUCAAGUGGUGGUGUCUUCUACUCGACCUGAGGGUCGAGUGGUCUCUUGAGAUCCUGAAGCUCCUACUCGACCUCUGGGUCGAGUGGUUUGUCAUGAUCAGGUCCGCUUCUUCCAGUUAGCUCGUCGACGGCUCCAAAUCACCUGAAAACAACACAAAUACGCAACAUGCAUGCAAAACUAUCCUAAACAUGCAAAGUGAUGACAAAUGAUGUGAAAUGGUAUAAAACAGUGAUGAUAUGAUGCUAAAAUGAUGACAAAUGGAUGCUCAAAACAUGCAAAAUACACACUUAUCAAAGCCCGUUAUGAAGAUAUGCGUCCUGGUUCAGCUACUGAUUUUGUGCCACCGUCUUAUCAACCAAGGGAUACUCAGAGCAAGGCCUUGGUUAUUCACAGUGGAAGCCGUGACCCAGUACCUCCAACUAUUGAGUCUCUAAGUGAGUAGUUUUGGUGAACUUUUGUGUAGUGAUGCUUUCACAAUAGUUCUUACAUGUUUGGUUACAUAUUUUUGUAGGUGAUGGCAGCGAUGAGUCUGAUGAAGAGGAUAAGAAGAAGAAGAAGAAGAAGAAGCAGAUAUCGAAGAAGAAGAGAAAGCAUGUUGGUCCUACUCUGGAAACUGGGAAAAAACGUGGAAGGAAACCUUCCAAGUUUAAGGGGGAAAAGUUUACAGCUGAGGGGAAGCAAACGAGGAAGAGACAGAAGAAUUAGGACUUUGACUUUUCUUUCUUGCUUAUGUGUGUGUGUGGACUUGUAGGUGUUUGGAGAAAUAGGACUUUGACUUUCUUUUUGUGUAUUUGGGAAUGUUAUGCGUUUUCUUUUGAUGUUGAACAUUGUAGUUUAUGUGUAGAGGACAAACUUAUUUUAUGAAAUGGUUUAUGUGUUUUAGGAUUUAUU
Molecule: small RNA, 1000 nt
Filed under: Arabidopsis thaliana (thale cress)
Lineage: Eukaryota; Viridiplantae; Streptophyta; Magnoliopsida; Brassicales; Brassicaceae
Description: ATSL273580
Source: RNAcentral